RNAcentral lists this unclassified non-coding RNA (1016 nucleotides) under Hevea brasiliensis (rubber tree). The record is from RNAcentral. Lineage: Eukaryota; Viridiplantae; Streptophyta; Magnoliopsida; Malpighiales; Euphorbiaceae.
UAACAAUGUGUAUCAAUAGAUCUACAACAUCUGUUACAAAAUACAAAUCACAAACCUCUGAAAAUCCUCUUGGAAAAAAAAAAACCACACACUAAAAAUAAUUUAAAGAAAAAAAAAAAGAGAAGAAAAAAGAGUAAACAUAUCCUCACUGAGUAAUAAAUUAGCCCAUUAAGGGCCUGACUUAUUCCCCACAAACUUGGUGAAAAGGAAUAUUGAAAAACUUACAGCAUCAAAAGCCCUAACCACAAACUUAACACCACAGCAACAAGUCUUCCACCAUCAAAUCUCACACCAGCAUUUUCAUCAGCUGCUUGAUCAGUUGGGUCAUCAGCCGGUGCAUCUGCUGGUGAGUCUGAUGGUGCUGAAGACAGGUCCUUGCUCUUACUAGAUUUUGGUGCAUCUGCGGCUUUCUCUGGGGCAGGUGCUGGAGCAGGAGUUGGUGCUUCUGCCUUGAACAGCUCUUUAGGCAACAAAACCUUGUUAAUGGUAAAUACAGCAACUGGCUGCUCAUCUAUCAAAGUCCCAAUAAUUUUUGCUGUGGUACUCCUUGUCUUCAAUGUCACAUCCUCACCAUCAUUUUGCACUGUGAAAUCAAACUUGUUUGCCCCAUCAGUAGCCAGAGUGUUCAUGAGACCAUUGUUGGAUUUUAGCAUGGAUAGAGAUUGAUAGACAGGUACACCAAAGAAUUCAAGUAAUGAUGUUUUGCCUGCUGCUGUUAAGUUCUUGAAUUUGGGUAGGAAAGCUUUGAAUGGAUCAUCAAGAGGGCAAAACACUGUUAAUCCUCCAUCAAGAUUGUCCUGAUAUGUCUUUGAAGCUUCAUGAUUUGCCAGUAAAGUAUCAGCGAAAACCUUACAACCAUGAGCCGACAUUAUGUCAGUCAAGUUCAUCUGGCUCGGUCCCGGCGUCGGAGCCUCUGCCACGUCCGACGGCAAAACCUUGCUGAUCUGUAUAACCGAAAUGUUAUAAGGCACUUCCUCCAAAGAUUUCACAAAGUACACAUCAAGACUCCCUCCGUU